Molecule: ribosomal RNA, 468 nt
Filed under: uncultured bacterium
Lineage: Bacteria
Description: partial 16S ribosomal RNA
Rfam family: Bacterial small subunit ribosomal RNA
Source: RNAcentral
GACGAACGCUGGCGGCGUGCUUAACACAUGCAAGUCGAACGGAAAGGCCCUGCUUUUGUGGGGUGCUCGAGUGGCGAACGGGUGAGUAACACGUGAGUGACCUGCCCUUGACUUUGGGAUAACUUCAGGAAACUGGGGCUAAUACCGGAUAGGAGCUCCUGCUGCAUGGUGGGGGUUGGAAAGUUUCGGCGGUUGGGGAUGGACUCGCGGCUUAUCAGCUUGUUGGUGGGGUAGUGGCUUACCAAGGCUUUGACGGGUAGCCGGCCUGAGAGGGUGACCGGCCACAUUGGGACUGAGAUACGGCCCAGACUCCUACGGGAGGCAGCAGUGGAGAAUAUUGCACAAUGGGCGGAAGCCUGAUGCAGCAACGCCGCGUGCGGGAUGACGGCCUUCGGGUUGUAAACCGCUUUCGCCUGUGACGAAGCGUGAGUGACGGUAAUGGGUAAAGAAGCACCGGCUAACUACGUG